Molecule: long non-coding RNA, 305 nt
Filed under: Fukomys damarensis (Damara mole-rat)
Lineage: Eukaryota; Metazoa; Chordata; Mammalia; Rodentia; Bathyergidae
Description: lncRNA (ENSFDAG00000030168.1)
Source: RNAcentral
CUUCCUUUCAGAAACCUUUGCAAUUUACCAAUCUGAGUGCAGUAAAAAUAAUGCUCAGCUUGGGCCAGGAUCAUCCAGAUGUUAGCUUCAUGGAAGAUGUGGCACAGGACAAUGCUACGGGCACAGCAUAUUGAAGACUUUGCUUCUGCAGUUGUUUCAAGCAGAGUGCUUGACAGUGUGGACAGUAUUGAUAAUAACACAUUCAAAGAGAAAAGAAGGCAGUCUGACUUUAGGAACCCCAAAUUAGGCCAAGACAAUGCUGAUGAAAGCAACAGGGGAAGGAGUCUGGAACAGAAUUAAAUGCU